GUCCACGCUGUAAACGAUGGGCACUAGGUGUCGCGGGUAUUGACCCCUGCGGUGCCGCAGCUAACGCACUAAGUGCCCCGCCUGGGGACUACGGCCGCAAGGUUAAAACUCAAAGGAAUUGACGGGGGCCCGGCACAAGCGGUGGAGCAUGUGGUUCAAUUCGACGCAACGCGAAGAACAUUACCCGGGCCUAGACAACAGAGGGCCGUCUUAGAAAUAAGGCCUUCCCUUCGGGGACCGUCUGGUUCAGGUGCUGCAUGGCUGUCGU
RNAcentral lists this ribosomal RNA (268 nucleotides) under uncultured bacterium. RNAcentral's name for it is "partial 16S ribosomal RNA". It matches the Rfam family "Bacterial small subunit ribosomal RNA", at positions 793 to 1055 of the family's 1533-position model. The record is from RNAcentral.